GAUGAACGCUGGCGGCAGGCCUAACACAUGCAAGUCGAGCGAGGACUUCGGUCCUAGCGGCGGACGGGUGAGUAACGCGUGGGAAUAUGCCCUUUGGUACGGAAUAGCCUCGGGAAACUGGGAGUAAUACCCGUAUGUGCCCCUUCGGGGGAAAGAUUUAUCGCCAAAGGAUUAGCCCGCGUUGGAUUAGGUAGUUGGUGGGGUAAUGGCCUACCAAGCCGACGAUCCAUAGCUGGUUUGAGAGGAUGAUCAGCCACACUGGGACUGAGACACGGCCCAGACUCCUACGGGAGGCAGCAGUGGGGAAUCUUAGACAAUGGGCGCAAGCCUGAUCUAGCCAUGCCGCGUGAUCGAUGAAGGCCUUAGGGUUGUAAAGAUCUUUCAGAUGGGAAGAUAAUGACUGUACCAUCAGAAGAAGCCCCGGCUAACUCCGUGCCAAGCAGCCGCGGUAAUGUCGUACGAU
RNAcentral lists this ribosomal RNA (463 nucleotides) under uncultured bacterium. RNAcentral describes it as "bacterial SSU rRNA". It matches the Rfam family "Bacterial small subunit ribosomal RNA", at positions 28 to 533 of the family's 1533-position model. The record is from RNAcentral.